CUCCCCCCACCCCCUUUUAGAGUACCUACCUCUGUUAGCUUUGGCGGGCCGCGGUCCCCCGCGGCCGCCCCCCCUCCCCGGGGGGUGGCUAGUGCCCGCCAGAGGACCAUCAAACUCCAGUCAGUGAACGUCGCAGUCUGAAAAAACAUUCAAUAAACUAAAACUUUCAACAACGGAUCUCUUGGUUCUGGCAUCGAUGAAGAACGCAGCGAAAUGCGAUAAGUAAUGUGAAUUGCAAAAUUCAGUGAAUCAUCGAAUCUUUGAACGCACAUUGCGCCCCUUGGUAUUCCGAGGGGCAUGCCUGUUCGAGCGUCAUUACAACCCUCAAGCUCUGCUUGGUAUUGGGCACCGCCCUUCUUCGGGCGCGCCUCAAAGACCUCGGCGGUGGCUGUCUUGCCUCAAGCGUAAUAAAAUACACCUCGCUUCGGAGCGCAGGGCGUCGCCCGCCGGACGAACCUUCUGAACUUUUCUCAAGGUUGACCUCGGAUCAGGUAGGGAUACCCGCUGAACUUAAGCAUAUCAAUAAGCCGGAAGGAAUAUU
RNAcentral lists this ribosomal RNA (541 nucleotides) under Macrophomina phaseolina. Its description in RNAcentral is "eukaryotic LSU rRNA". The stretch from base 162 to 315 matches the Rfam family "5.8S ribosomal RNA". Lineage: Eukaryota; Fungi; Ascomycota; Dothideomycetes; Botryosphaeriales; Botryosphaeriaceae. The record is from RNAcentral.